GGUUCCAUGUUAUAAUGGUUAGCACUCUGAAUUCUGAAUCCAGUGAUCUGAGUUCAAACCACGGGGGAGCCU
This is a non-coding RNA of Gymnothorax javanicus (giant moray), 72 nucleotides long. The record is from the annotation of a GenBank genome assembly. Lineage: Eukaryota; Metazoa; Chordata; Actinopteri; Anguilliformes; Muraenidae.